RNAcentral lists this ribosomal RNA (1019 nucleotides) under Paenarthrobacter nitroguajacolicus. RNAcentral describes it as "bacterial SSU rRNA". It matches the Rfam family "Bacterial small subunit ribosomal RNA", at positions 64 to 1096 of the family's 1533-position model. The record is from RNAcentral. Lineage: Bacteria; Bacillati; Actinomycetota; Actinomycetes; Micrococcales; Micrococcaceae.
GAACGAUGAUCCCAGCUUGCUGGGGGAUUAGUGGCGAACGGGUGAGGUAACACGUGAGUAACCUGCCCUUGACUCUGGGAUAAGCCUGGGAAACUGGGUCUAAUACCGGAUAUGACUGUCUGACGCAUGUCAGGUGGUGGAAAGCUUUUGUGGUUUUGGAUGGACUCGCGGCCUAUCAGCUUGUUGGUGGGGUAAUGGCCUACCAAGGCGACGACGGGUAGCCGGCCUGAGAGGGUGACCGGCCACACUGGGACUGAGACACGGCCCAGACUCCUACGGGAGGCAGCAGUGGGGAAUAUUGCACAAUGGGCGCAAGCCUGAUGCAGCGACGCCGCGUGAGGGAUGACGGCCUUCGGGUUGUAAACCUCUUUCAGUAGGGAAGAAGCGAAAGUGACGGUACCUGCAGAAGAAGCGCCGGCUAACUACGUGCCAGCAGCCGCGGUAAUACGUAGGGCGCAAGCGUUAUCCGGAAUUAUUGGGCGUAAAGAGCUCGUAGGCGGUUUGUCGCGUCUGCUGUGAAAGACCGGGGCUCAACUCCGGUUCUGCAGUGGGUACGGGCAGACUAGAGUGCAGUAGGGGAGACUGGAAUUCCUGGUGUAGCGGUGAAAUGCGCAGAUAUCAGGAGGAACACCGAUGGCGAAGGCAGGUCUCUGGGCUGUAACUGACGCUGAGGAGCGAAAGCAUGGGGAGCGAACAGGAUUAGAUACCCUGGUAGUCCAUGCCGUAAACGUUGGGCACUAGGUGUGGGGGACAUUCCACGUUUUCCGCGCCGUAGCUAACGCAUUAAGUGCCCCGCCUGGGGAGUACGGCCGCAAGGCUAAAACUCAAAGGAAUUGACGGGGGCCCGCACAAGCGGCGGAGCAUGCGGAUUAAUUCGAUGCAACGCGAAGAACCUUACCAAGGCUUGACAUGAACCGGUAAUACCUGGAAACAGGUGCCCCGCUUGCGGUCGGUUUACAGGUGGUGCAUGGUUGUCGUCAGCCUCGUGUCGUGAGAUGUUGGUUUAAGUCCCGCACGAA